This 59-nucleotide ribosomal RNA is filed under the name Prevotella brunnea. Lineage: Bacteria; Pseudomonadati; Bacteroidota; Bacteroidia; Bacteroidales; Prevotellaceae. The record is from RNAcentral.
UCAGGUGGUUAUUGCGCCGGGGUUCCACCUCUUCCCAUCCCGAACAGAGAAGUUAAGCC